ACGGGAGGCGCAGUGGGGAAUAUUAGGCAAUGGGGGAAACCCUGACCUAGCAACGCCGCGUGAAGGAAGAAGGCCUUCGGGUUGUAAACUUCUUUUACCAGGGACGAAGACGUGACGGUACCUGGAGAAUAAGCCACGGCUAACUACGUGCCAGCAGCCGCGGUAAUACGUAGGUGGGAAGCGUUGUCCGGAUUUACUGGGUGUAAAGGGCGCGUAGGCGGGAUAGCAAGUCAGAUGUGAAAUCUAUGGGCUUAACCCAUAAACUGCUUUUGAAGCUGUGGCUCUUGAGUAUCGGGGAGGCAGGCGGAAUUCCUAGUGUAGCGGUGAAAUGCGUAGAUAUUAGGAGGAACACCAGUGGCGAAGGCGGCCUGCUGGACGACAACUGACGCUGAGGCGCGAAAGCGUGGGGAGCAAACAGGAUUAGAUACCCUGGUA
This 435-nucleotide ribosomal RNA is filed under the name uncultured Oscillospira sp. Its description in RNAcentral is "partial 16S ribosomal RNA". It matches the Rfam family "Bacterial small subunit ribosomal RNA", at positions 341 to 792 of the family's 1533-position model. Lineage: Bacteria; Bacillati; Bacillota; Clostridia; Eubacteriales; Oscillospiraceae. The record is from RNAcentral.